UACGUAGGGGGCUAGCGUUGUCCGGAUUUAUUGGGCAUAAAGAGCGUGUAGGCGGCCAGGUAGGUCUGGUGUGAAAACUCGAGGCUUAACCUCGAGAUGUCAUCGGAAACCAUCUGGCUAGAGUCCGGAAGAGGAGAGUGGAAUUCCUGGUGUAGCGGUGAAAUGCGCAGAUAUCAGGAAGAACACCAAUGGCGAAAGCAGCUCUCUGGGACGGUACUGACGCUGAGACGCGAAAGCGUGGGGAGCGAACAGG
RNAcentral lists this ribosomal RNA (253 nucleotides) under uncultured bacterium. Its description in RNAcentral is "partial 16S ribosomal RNA". It matches the Rfam family "Bacterial small subunit ribosomal RNA", at positions 524 to 776 of the family's 1533-position model. The record is from RNAcentral.